CCUCGGGAAACUGAGAGUAAUACCGUAUGUGCCCCUCGGGGGAAAGAUUUAUCGCCUUUGGAUCGGCCCGCGUUGGAUUAGGUAGUUGGUGGGGGUAAUGGCCUACCAAGCCGACGAUCCAUAGCUGGUUUGAGAGGAUGAUCAGCAACACUGGGACUGAGACACGGCCCAGACUCCUACGGGAGGCAGCAGUGGGGAAUCUUAGACAAUGGGGGAAACCCUGAUCUAGCCAUGCCGCGUGGACGAUGAAGGCCUUAGGGUUGUAAAGUCCUUUCAGCUGGGAAGAUAAUGACGGUACCAGCAGAAGAAGCCCCGGCUAACUCCGUG
RNAcentral lists this ribosomal RNA (327 nucleotides) under uncultured bacterium. Its description in RNAcentral is "bacterial SSU rRNA". It matches the Rfam family "Bacterial small subunit ribosomal RNA", at positions 147 to 507 of the family's 1533-position model. The record is from RNAcentral.